Molecule: ribosomal RNA, 253 nt
Filed under: uncultured bacterium
Lineage: Bacteria
Description: partial 16S ribosomal RNA
Rfam family: Bacterial small subunit ribosomal RNA
Source: RNAcentral
UACGUAGGGUGCAAGCGUUAAUCGGAAUUACUGGGCGUAAAGCGUGCGCAGGCGGUUUUGUAAGUUUGUCGUGAAAGCCCCGGGCUCAACCUGGGAAUUGCGAUGAAGACUGCAAGGCUUGAAUCUGGCAGAGGGGGGUAGAAUUCCACGUGUAGCAGUGAAAUGCGUAGAGAUGUGGAGGAACACCGAUGGCGAAGGCAGCCCCCUGGGUCAAGAUUGACGCUCAUGCACGAAAGCGUGGGGAGCGAACAGG